RNAcentral lists this long non-coding RNA (1191 nucleotides) under Nicotiana benthamiana. RNAcentral describes it as "long non-coding RNA (NBEN_LNC007526)". Lineage: Eukaryota; Viridiplantae; Streptophyta; Magnoliopsida; Solanales; Solanaceae. The record is from RNAcentral.
AAAAAUACAGAAAUUGAAACGGCAAAAAAUACUGAUAGUAGUUCAACUGUUCCAUUGAAUCUCAUCAUUGACUGUUUUAUUCGAGUUCUGAAAAUAAUAUUUACAUAUUCUAAGAUUGAAAUGGAUUGAUAUUAGUCAUUUGAGAAGUUUUUGCGGUUCAAAUUUGUUUGAGGGUCAUUAUUCCAUUGGGUUUCAAGUUAAUUUUAUGGUUUAGUGGUGGAAUCUGGGUUUGUUUAUGGGUUGGAAGCGGUUUGAAAAAAAUGGUUUGUGCUUCUUGCGGUUUUGAUUUGAAAACAUUGCAAUAUAGUUCACUUUAAUUGUUUUGAAGUUAGGUUCCCUUCCUGGAGUUUUCUACUGUUCUAUUGGCGUUUGUGAGCUGAUUUCGUUGUUCAGUUUGUUGAAUCUGGGACUAUCAUCUGCUGAUGUUUACUGCUGAGUAACCAUUCCUUUUCCCUUGUCAAUUUUCAGGUAUUUUUCUUGAAAUUGUAUUGGAGUGGAAGCUUGAUUGAAUGUGUAUGAGGAUCUGCUAACGUGAAUAAUCGAUUGUUGUUGAUUACUGUGUAGUUCAGAUUAAUAUUGCUCAUAUAUAGUUAGCUUGAUGUAAAUAUCCCUUCAUGGAAAUACAUUUGGCUUUAGAUGCUAGAUCUAGGCCCAUUGGAAUGGGAGAACUCCGUGAUCUGGGCAUAAAAAUGCUUGUAAUAAUUGGACAAUGGAUCUUAGAUACACUUGAUUCCAACUAGAAUUCACCUUCCAAAAUCAUGUUAAAUUUGACCAUGUACAACUUUGUGGUUUGGUUUGGAGGUGUUUUUUUUGCAAAUUAUCUUAAGUUUUCUAGGAUAAGAGAGGUAAAAUUGGAGGUCAAUUGGGUCUGAUUUUCUGAAAGUGCCAUUCUAAUUUUGUUAAGUGCGUGGAUGGUUCUGCUCAUCGGUCUACUAUAUUGGUUUGUUCAUUUUAUUUUGUUUAAAAUUUAGACUAUUUAAUCUAUAAGAACGUGGGAUUGUUUGCUGUUUUAUGUAGACUUAUUUGUUCAGUAGAAUUGGGAUUAAAUUCACAUCCUUGUUCUAAUACAAGUAGGUAUUAGGAUAAAAAAAAAAAGAAAAAAAACUAUUUCUUGAACUAUAAUUCCUGGUGCAUUUUUUAAGAAGGAAUCGAAUUUAGGUUUUGCAUUACCUUGUUAAUUUUAAACUUUAG